GAUGAAGAACGUAGCGAAAUGCGAUAAGUAAUGCGAAUUGCAGAAUUUCCGUGAGUCAUCGAAUCUUUGAACGCACAUUGCGCCCACUGGUAUUCCAAAGGGCAUGCCUGUUCGAGCGUCAUUUGUACCCUCAAGCUUUGCUUGGUGUUGGGCGUCUUGUCUCUAGCUUUGCUGGAGACUCGCCUUAAAGUAAUUGGCAGCCGGCCUACUGGUUUCGGAGCGCAGCACAAGUCGCACUCUCUAUCAGCAAAGGUCUAGCAUCCAUUAAGCCUUUUUUUCAACUUUUGACCUCGGAUCAGGUAGGGAUACCCGCUGAACUUAAGCAUAUCAAUAAGCGGAGGA
RNAcentral lists this unclassified non-coding RNA (342 nucleotides) under soil metagenome. RNAcentral describes it as "partial contains 5.8S ribosomal RNA, internal transcribed spacer 2, and large subunit ribosomal RNA". The stretch from base 1 to 121 matches the Rfam family "5.8S ribosomal RNA", at positions 35 to 154 of the family's 154-position model. The record is from RNAcentral.